UAGCUCAGUUGGUAGAGCAUGGUGUUUGCAAAGCCAGGGUUGUGGGUUCGAUUCCCAC
Non-coding RNA from Salmo salar (Atlantic salmon), 58 nucleotides. Lineage: Eukaryota; Metazoa; Chordata; Actinopteri; Salmoniformes; Salmonidae. The record is from Rfam.